CCUACGGGGGGCAGCAGUGGGGAAUAUUGGACAAUGGGGGGAACCCUGAUCCAGCCAUGCCGCGUGUGUGAAGAAGGCCCUCGGGUUGUAAAGCACUUUCAGUGAGGAAGAACGCCUGGUGGUUAAUACCCAUCAGGAAAGACAUCACUCACAGAAGAAGCACCGGCUAACUCCGUGCCAGCAGCCGCGGUAAUACGGAGGGUGCGGGCGUUAAUCGGAAUUACUGGGCGUAAAGCGCGCGUAGGUGGCUUGAUAAGCCGGUUGUGAAAGCCCCGGGCUCAACCUGGGAACGGCAUCCGGAACUGUCAAGCUAGAGUGCAGGAGAGGAAGGUAGAAUUCCCGGUGUAGCGGUGAAAUGCGUAGAGAUCGGGAGGAAUACCAGUGGCGAAGGCGGCCUUCUGGACUGACACUGACACUGAGGUGCGAAAGCGUGGGUAGCAAACAGGAUUAGAUACCCUGGUAGUC
Molecule: ribosomal RNA, 465 nt
Filed under: Vreelandella stevensii
Lineage: Bacteria; Pseudomonadati; Pseudomonadota; Gammaproteobacteria; Oceanospirillales; Halomonadaceae
Description: partial 16S ribosomal RNA
Rfam family: Bacterial small subunit ribosomal RNA
Source: RNAcentral